This 396-nucleotide ribosomal RNA is filed under the name uncultured bacterium. RNAcentral describes it as "partial 16S ribosomal RNA". It matches the Rfam family "Bacterial small subunit ribosomal RNA", at positions 523 to 918 of the family's 1533-position model. The record is from RNAcentral.
AUACGUAGGGGGCGAGCGUUGUCCGGAAUGACUGGGCGUAAAGGGCGUGUGGCGGCCGAUUAAGUCUGGAGUGAAAGUCCUGCUUUCAAGGUGGGAAUUGCUUUGGAGACUGGUUGGCUUGAGUGCGGAAGAGGUAAGUGGAAUUCCCAGUGUAGCGGUGAAAUGCGUAGAGAUUGGGAGGAACACCAGUGGCGAAGGCGACUUACUGGGCCGUAACUGACGCUGAGGCGCGAAAGCGUGGGGAGCGAACAGGAUUAGAUACCCUGGUAGUCCACGCGGUAAACGAUGAAUGCUAGGUGUAGGGGGUAUCGACCCCUCCUGUGCCGGAGUGGACACAAUAAGCAUUCCGCCUGGGGAGUACGGCCGCAAGGUUGAAACUCAAAUGAAUUGACGGGG